GGAUCUCCAGGUAACAGUCCAGCCAUAUGCACUAGUCCGUAACUAGGAUACAAUGGUUAAGAUAACUCUCCUAUAUAUGGAGCAGGCCUUUACCACCGACAGAUGUGAACGCAUAAUCCAGUAGCUUCCUGAUUGAAAGAAUUAGGGAUU
Telopea speciosissima is the source of this 150-nucleotide long non-coding RNA. RefSeq lists it as uncharacterized. The record is from RefSeq and is a predicted model, not a curated record. NCBI's taxonomy places the organism in Eukaryota, Viridiplantae, Streptophyta, Magnoliopsida, Proteales, Proteaceae. The transcript has 3 exons.